Molecule: long non-coding RNA, 418 nt
Organism: Otolemur garnettii (small-eared galago)
Lineage: Eukaryota; Metazoa; Chordata; Mammalia; Primates; Galagidae
Exons: 3
Source: RefSeq, a predicted model, not a curated record
AUUGAGAGGAAGAAGACGUUACUGCUCCCACAGGAUAGCUAGAAUCUGAUCUCCUGUACAAGGCACUGCACGGGCUGCCGACCAGGAGACAGGGAGCAGCAGGAUCAGAGAUGAGCCUGGGCUAAGGACCUGCUACCAGAGGACUUGGCCAGGAGAGUAUUUCUCCAAAGGAUUAAACAAAGACCUGGAAAUCUGAAUGUCACUACCAAGAGAGGGGACUAUGUGGGGAUACACUACAGCAAGGCCUGUGAUGCAGUGAUUACCCUGUUUAGGAGCUGACAACACUGAGGUUCAGAGUUCAGUAACUUCUCUACUGUCAGAACCAUCAGGCCACAGUCCUACAACCUGGAUCCAGGUCAACAGCAACAGGACUCAAGCUUAUAGCCUUCCCACACAUUCACAAGUGGACUUCUGGAGG